This 468-nucleotide ribosomal RNA is filed under the name uncultured bacterium. RNAcentral's name for it is "partial 16S ribosomal RNA". It matches the Rfam family "Bacterial small subunit ribosomal RNA", at positions 28 to 507 of the family's 1533-position model. The record is from RNAcentral.
GACGAACGCUGGCGGCGUGCUUAACACAUGCAAGUCGAACGGAAAGGCCCUGCUUUUGUGGGGUUCUCGAGUGGCGAACGGGUGAGUAACACGUGAGUAACCUGCCCUUGACUUUGGGAUAACUUCAGGAAACUGGGGCUAAUACCGGAUAGGAGCUCCUGCUGCAUGGGGGGGGUUGGAAAGUUUCGGUGGUGGGGGAUGGACUCGCGGCUUAUCAGCUUGUUGGGGGGGUAGGGGCUUACCAAGGCUUUGGCGGGUAGCCGGCCUGGGAGGGUGACCGGCCACAUUGGGACUGAGAUACGGCCCAGACUCCUACGGGAGGCAGCAGUGGGGAAUAUUGCACAAUGGGCGGAAGCCUGAUGCAGCAACGCCGCGUGCGGGAUGACGGCCUUCGGGUUGUAAACCGCUUUCGCCUGUGACGAAGCGUGAGUGACGGUAAUGGGUAAAGAAGCACCGGCUAACUACGUG